Molecule: ribosomal RNA, 135 nt
Filed under: Clostridiales bacterium
Lineage: Bacteria; Bacillati; Bacillota; Clostridia; Eubacteriales
Description: partial 23S ribosomal RNA
Rfam family: Bacterial large subunit ribosomal RNA
Source: RNAcentral
AAGGUCUGGAGCCGGAGCGAAAGCGAGUCUGAACAGGGCGAUAGUUGCAUGACGUAGACCCGAAACCGGGUGACCUAUCCAUGAGCAGGUUGAAGUGGAGGUAAAACUCCAUGGAGGACCGAACCAGGCUGGAUU